UCUGACACCCCUGUAUUUAUGCAGUUUAAAAAUGUAUAUAUUAAAAAAAAAUGUACUCGCCUUGUUGGUGCCCUGAACGCACCACACGUAGGCACUCUCCCACCUCAGAUUGCAUUCUCUGCAGUGAUAAUAGCCGUACUUCUGCUCCAGAAACUGAUGGAAAAUGAGUUGGGUCACUAUGUGCGGACCAGAGUUUCACUGAAGUUAAAAUGCUUUAAGCUUUAGUCCAUUAAGUUUCCCAAAUGUGGAAACUUUACUUCAAAUGCCCCUCUAAAUUGUUUAACUGUAGUCCAAAGUUGACAAAAUCAGAUUAAAAAUAAAAAUACUGCUUUUAACAGCAAAAUUAGUAAGUUGAUCUUUUGUUCUUUAACGUUUCCAAAAUAACUCAAUUAUAAAAUUACAGAACCUCAAAAAAAAAAAAAAAGGCAGCUCUAGAGAUACUUACCUGGAACCGUACGCGUGCUUUGCCCUUUGACCCCUCCUCCAUGACUUUGCCCUUUGACCCCUCUUCGGCGGGCCGUGCCUCCUCGCUGUUCCGUUUGAACUCUACCUGCUCGGCCUCGUCCUUCCGGGCGUCCACCCUGACAGCUUCUUCGACCUCCUCUGCCCGCUUAACCAGAGCCUCCCCGGACGGAGAGUCCUUGUCCUCCGCCAGGAAGUACGUGAUGUUCCGGUAGGCUAUGGGGGAGUACAGCGCCAAGGUCCGCGGGUAUCGAACCGCCGCCUUGGGGCUACCACUCUCGUCAGUGGUCGAGGACCCCUCUGAUGCCUUCUUGCGCCGGACGUCUCGCUUCAAGGCGACGAGAGUGCGCGGCCCGAUCGAGCACUGCACCGAGGCGUCCCUCUUGGGGUUCACCUGCACUGCCACGUCCUUGGUAUUGGCCUUGCGGAGCCUAGGCGUGAGCUUGGGGUUGAUCUGCGACAGGAUGGACUUGAGCUGAGCGCGCUGCUGGUUGUUGAAGGCUUCCGAUGAGUCGCCAUAGUGAGACAGGUGUAGGAUCCGGAGGACACGGGUCCAGCAUGAUGGUGUUGGGGUCGCUCACCGUCACGGCACCGUAAGACCCGUCAAAGUCAACGUCCUCAUCCUGAAAUCUCUGGUAUGUUAUGUCCGUGUCCUCGCCAUCCCGCACUGGGUCCGCCUUGUGCAGCACCUUCUUGCGGUACAACCUGUAGACCAGGAUGAAGACGCCCGCUUCAGCUGCCUGGAAGAGCGCGUAGAGCAGUGGGAACAUGUACAUGCCACCCAUCAGCUGAGGCGGGAAGGCCAGCUUGAGGAUGGCGGUGCACAGCUGCACGUUCUGGCAACCCGUCUCCAAGGAGACGGAGCGGCGGCUGUUGGGGGGUAGGUCGAAGAGCACCGCAAGGCCAUAGCCCGCCGCAUACCCACACAUGGGCAUCAGGAGGGCCACCGCAUAGACGGACAGCGGGAUGGUGGAGAGAAGCUCGGGGCCCAGCAUGGCCGCCGUUAGGAUGAAGAGCAGGAGGAGGGUAAUGAGCAGGGACCAGAGGGACGCCUGGGGAGACACAGAUAUAGCCGGGGCCCUCUGUGCGCUAUCAGCCGCUGAUAUCACACACAGGAAAUAAACAGCACUGACGUCAGGCGGUCUGGAGCGGGACAAGGGAGGACAGGACGGCUGCUGCGGUGGGCGGGUGGCUCAGAUCUGUCGUCAAGUCUCCUCCCUCCUACCCUUGAAACACAGUCAUUAAACUAAUGUUAGGCU
Molecule: long non-coding RNA, 1721 nt
Organism: Dunckerocampus dactyliophorus (ringed pipefish)
Lineage: Eukaryota; Metazoa; Chordata; Actinopteri; Syngnathiformes; Syngnathidae
Exons: 3
Source: RefSeq, a predicted model, not a curated record